CCUACGGGGGUCAGCAGUGGGGAAUAUUGCGCAAUGGGCGAAAGCCUGAUGCAGCGACGCCGCGUGAGUGAUGAAGGUCUUCGGAUCGUAAACCUCUGUCAGCAGGGAAGAACGGUCACUGUGCUAAUCAGCAGUGCAUUGACGGUACCUGCAAAGGAAGCACCGGCUAACUCCGUGCCAGCAGCCGCGGUAAUACGGAGGGUGCGAGCGUUAAUCGGAAUUACUGGGCGUAAAGCGCUCGUAGGCGGUUUGUCAAGUCAAGGGUGAAAUCCCCGGGCUCAACGUGGGAACUGCCUUUGAAACUGGCAAGCUGGAGUGUGGGAGAGGAGAGUGGAAUUCCAGGUGUAGGAGUGAAAUGCGUAGAGAUCUGGAGGAACAUCAGUGGCGAAGGCGACUAUCUGGAACAUAACUGACGCGGAGGAGCGAAAGCGUGGGUAGCAAACAGGAUUAGAUACCCGGGUAGUC
Molecule: ribosomal RNA, 465 nt
Filed under: uncultured bacterium
Lineage: Bacteria
Description: partial 16S ribosomal RNA
Rfam family: Bacterial small subunit ribosomal RNA
Source: RNAcentral